GCGGGAGUGCGCAUGCGCGGAGCGGUCCUUCGGCCCUGUCAGGUUCGGAGAGGGUUUGUUGUCUUCGUCGAAAGUCAGGGGAACGCGGCGGGCUGCUCCUGUGCUGAAGGCCGCUCCGUGGAGAUCCAGGUCCAGUUAUCAAAGCCUUGAUAUAAUUAAAUGAAUGUUGAGAUCUUCAGAAAAAAGACCAGGCAGAAACUGAAGAUGAUUUCCCCCCCAAGUGCCAUUCAUAACAUCAAGCACCAGAAAAAGAUGGUUCUUGCUGAAGAGGAAGUAUCAAAGACACCUGAAGAUUCUCAGCAAAGAAGUGCCAUACAUGACCUUCCAUGUAUUCGGUGGAGUUUUCUUAAAGAUAACACAGGAAUAUUAAGAAAACAAAAAUAAUGACCACAGAUGAAGUAAAUACCUUUAAACAAUGAAGUCGUUGAAAUGAUUCAAGAUUGUCCAUACCUUGGUUCAGUCAUUAAUCAGAAUGGAAACUGCAGUCAAGAAAUUGGAAGAAGACUAGGAUUUGGAAGGUUAGCUAUGAAGGAACGAGACAAGAUCCUGAAGUGUCAAGGUCUAUAAUUGAAUACUAAAGUUAUUAUUGUCCAGAUUUCUGUGUGUAGUUGUGAAAGCUGGACAGUGAAAAACGUUUUGGGCUUUUGAAGAAAUAAGUUUUAAGGCCCGUACAGACAGGCCAAAAUAAAGCUGCUUCAGGUGACUGAAGCACAUAUCUUAAGAGGCCAGAAGUGGACUGGAGCAUGGCUUUGGUGCGACUUCUGGCCUCUUAGGAUGCAUGCAACAUUUAAAUAGCAUGCUUCCAAAGUGACCCAAAACAGCUUUAUUUUUGGCCUGUCUGUUCAGGUCCUUAGUCUCCUUUCAUUCUUCCACUAUGAAUACACCCUUUCCAGACUUUUGUUAUGUUAAUGAUCUCAAGCACCUGAUUCUCUGGAGGCAAAAAAGGGAUCUCUCAGAAUCUAAAGUCUAAGAACAUCUAUAAUUUCAGAAGUUUGGUUUAAGAAAAGGUAAGUUAAAGAAAGGUUGAAGAACAAUUAAAAUGUUGAAUGUGUCUCCAUACUGUGUUCCUGGGUAUUAUUAAAUGGGAGCAAGAUGGGUUCAUGUUGACAUAACUUUUGUUUUACAGUAUUGGAUCACGUGUGUGUAUUCAUUCAUUACCACAAAUGUUGUCGAACACAUACGUGGAACAGAGAGACAAAUAGCAUGUGAUCUCAUUAGCUUUACACUGUGAUGUUCAGAGAUUUUAAAUGAAUAGGUAAGGAAGGUUGGGUGCAGAGCACUGUGGUUAGAUAUCUGAUUAUUUAAAUGAGAUUUUAGAUAUUGAGGUAUGUGCUGUACCCAGAGCUAGAACAUAAUAUAUUGCCAUUACUAUUCUUAAUGGGUACAUAAUACAAGUAAUUCAAGAUUUAGGUCUGUCAGUUUCAUGUUAAAAGACUGAAGUGGGGGUGUUGGUCAUUGUUAAAAUGUUAUUUGACAUGCUAAUUUCGCUGGUUUCUAAUUUAAAGGUGAGAGUGAAUCUUUCAAAAUUAGAAUUGGAAAACAGUUAAUCUGAUGUCAGGAUUGAAAAACUACCAUGGUGGAUAAAAGUUGCAUUUAAA
This is a long non-coding RNA of Sceloporus undulatus (fence lizard), 1598 nucleotides long. RefSeq lists it as uncharacterized. The record is from RefSeq and is a predicted model, not a curated record. The transcript has 2 exons. Lineage: Eukaryota; Metazoa; Chordata; Lepidosauria; Squamata; Phrynosomatidae.